GACAAUUAUCUCUUUUUUGCGGGUGCUAUUAUGUUCUUAUUCUUCUCCAAACCCGAUGAUCGCUGUCGUCUAAUCUACCGCGCGCAAGCCUCCCCUCGGGGCUAGAUCUCCGGUCUCCGCUUGCCCAAUUUCCACCACUGAGGCGAUGCAGGAAGCCAAGCACCUCACCACCUCAAAGCUUCCGCCGCAAUCCCAAUCCUCAUCCCCAUCCCCUUCGGCUCCCGCCGCGAACCCUCCCCCAUACCAUCACGACUAUGGUACCUUUCACCGGCCGUUUCAGCCGACGCUGCCCGUCGUAGGCCCCGCCUACCAUGACUACCAUGCCUCUCCUAUCGGGUUCGGCAGCCAGGGGUUCGUUGCCUCCCCGGGCGCCGUCCAGCAGCAGGUCUUCGUGGAGGGCAUCCCCGUCCGAGAGCCGCCCCUACCGUUCUGCGGCGUCGGCGUCGGCUGGUUUUUGUUCUUAUUGGGGUUCUUCUUGGCGGCAAUCCCCUGGUAUGCUGGUGCGUUCCUUCUAUUCUUUGUUGCUUUGGACCACAGAGAGAAGCCUGGAUUAAUCGCAUGCACCGUUGCUGGCAUAUUUGCACUAGUUCCAUUCAUCCUGAACGGUAUCAGAUUGAACCCUUUCUGGUGAUCAGUGCUUGCCAAUCCAGAUCCACAUGACUAAUGUUUUCAGCACCACAUUCGAUAUGUUCAUAGCUGUAUUAUUUUGCUCAAACUUGCGAAGAACAAAAUAUAUGAGCUUAUGUGUAAAAAGGAAUUGCCAUGCUGUUUUAUGUCCGCAGCAGGUUCAUGCCCUGUGAUAUGUGUAAUCAUGAAUUGUACAGUUUAUCUGUACCGCAGCAGUUUACGAGAGGUCUAGUAAAAGCACAUUUUACCCAUCUUUUGAAUUUGCCUUACAAUCUUGUCAAUCUCCUAUAACACCAGUCAGCAUCCCAUCCAUUUUUCCUUCUCUUUAUAGAUGACUAGAUGUACCAUGAAGCUGGAAAUGGGGCUUCGGGGAUACAUGUCACAGUGAAUUUUCAAAUCCUGUGUAAGUGAUCCAUAUUCAGGCCAUUGCAGCUGUUUACAGGCCUCACGUUGGGGCCUGGAGCUUUGCUACUGGUUAUUCGAGUUGCUUUGGUAAUCCAUGCCGGACGACUGCUCGAACUCCCCGGUGUACUCCUCGGAGGCGAAGGCGGUGGCACGGAGCUGCUGGAUGGCGGCCGCUUGCUGGUGGCCGGAGUCGAAAUUCCGGCUCUGCCCCACCUUCACCCCAUUGCUUAGGUCGGACAUGCCUCCUUCGUCGUCCAGUGCCCUCAUCACCUGCACGAACGAACAACGCAAACGACGUCUGGUUUCCAGUCCCCAGCACUGCCGGUUUAAUUCGCAGAUGUAUGUAUGUAUAUAUAUAUACCUGCACCAUCCGCGGGCGCUUGGGAGCCGAGUGGCGGACGCAGGCGGACGCGGCCUCCACCAUCACCAUCAUCUGGCCCCUGUCGUAGGCGGCGCCGCCGUCCACCAGCCGGGGGUCGACCACCGCGCCGAGGUCGCCCGUCUCGAUGGCGUCCACGAGGACGGGCCGCGCCUGGCAGCGCGACAGGGCUAGCGUACGUCAGUGAAACCGACGACAGGCCGCGUGCGCUAGCGUCGAUCGUCGACGUACGCACCCACUCGACGAGGCUCUCCUCCCCUUGGCGCGCUUGGUCCACCGGCUUCCGUCCCGUGAUGAGCUCCAGCAGCACGACGCCGAAGGAGAACACGUCGGACCGGUCCGUCAGCUUCCCGCUCGACGCGUACUCGGGCGCAAGGUACCUGCAUUGCAUGCAUGCGUUAAUUUCAUGUCAUUAUUAUUAUUAUAUAUUGUCGCGGUGCAAAUGGAUCGCCAGCUAGCCUCUGCAGGUAUGGUUUGGUUUCGGAAGCUAAGACUGAAGAUGCAUGGACCGGGGAAGAGAAUGAAUACUGGACUGACGUGGACGCACCCAAACGUCCCCAUGAUGCGAGUGGAGACAUGCGUGUUCGUGUCGUUGGUGAGCUUGGCCAGGCCGAAAUCUGCAACCUGCGCACCACAUCUCAACACGGCCCGGACCGCAGAGGUGAGACCGUGACCGUGAGACAGCAGCAGCAGCUAGCUAGCAUUCUACUACUUUAUUUAAUGAAUAAUAAUAGUCCUCGUCAGCCAUGCCUGUGCUUGGAACGAAUAGUCAAGCAGGAUGUUGGCGGACUUUAUAUCCCUGUGGAUGAUCCUCGGGUGACCUGCAAAUGUAAAAGCACGUACAGCAUCCGUCAGGAAGAAGAAAAUAAUGAACAUUGUUGCUGUGUUGUGCAUCAAUGAGACCACUGGUCCAAUAUAUACAGGAUUAUUAGGC
This is an RNA transcript of Zea mays, 2345 nucleotides long. It is a transcript of the gene named 60S ribosomal protein L18a-like, with no coding region annotated. The record is from RefSeq and is a predicted model, not a curated record. The transcript is spliced from 5 exons. NCBI's taxonomy places the organism in Eukaryota, Viridiplantae, Streptophyta, Magnoliopsida, Poales, Poaceae.